CGGCGGCACCGGAUAUGGACUUAAAAGAUGCCGCCGUAGUGACGGCGGCGGCGACGUCCGAAGAGAGGGAGGAUGAGCGAGAGUGACCUGGAGUGGCGGCGGAGCGCACGUAGCAGAAGGAGUGACCGAGCGCCUCUUCGAGCGGGUCCUUCACGAUCGGCGGCGCGGAAGCGUCGUCACCGCCGUCGGCAGCGGCGGGCCGGAGGCAG
Molecule: unclassified non-coding RNA, 209 nt
Filed under: Hevea brasiliensis (rubber tree)
Lineage: Eukaryota; Viridiplantae; Streptophyta; Magnoliopsida; Malpighiales; Euphorbiaceae
Source: RNAcentral